This 280-nucleotide long non-coding RNA is filed under the name Nicotiana benthamiana. RNAcentral's name for it is "long non-coding RNA (NBEN_LNC034155)". The record is from RNAcentral. Lineage: Eukaryota; Viridiplantae; Streptophyta; Magnoliopsida; Solanales; Solanaceae.
ACAAUCUAAUAUCUUCUUCCAUACACUUCACCCUAACAAAUUUGGUAUCAGAGCGUGGUUAGCCUUGUGUCUCAACACUAGUUCUUCAACAUGGCAACAUCAUCACCAUCCGUGUUCAACUAUUCACAGAAUCUUGUCCCCAUUUUUUAUGGAGAUAACUAUGAUUAUUGGAGCCUCCAAAUAAAGACUCUUUUUAUUUUUCAAGAUCUUUGGGAGCUUGUACAAGAUGGCUAUGAUAGACCCGAUGACUUGGCUACGCUUGCAACAUGGACGGCGUCCA